RNAcentral lists this ribosomal RNA (519 nucleotides) under Triticum aestivum (bread wheat). Its description in RNAcentral is "partial small subunit ribosomal RNA". Lineage: Eukaryota; Viridiplantae; Streptophyta; Magnoliopsida; Poales; Poaceae. The record is from RNAcentral.
AUGGCGACCACGUCGACCACCCCGUUCCACCGUCUCCUCGCCCCGGCCCGGUCGAACCCCGCUGCGCGCCUCUCCCUCUACACCCGCGGCCCUCCCACGCUCUCCUUCUCCCGCUCCAUCUCCGUCCGCCGACGUCUCGCUGCCGCAUCCAAGGACACCGCCAGCGACAAGGGGCAAGAACAAGAAUCGUCCACGGUAGCGGGCGGAGCCGCGGAGCCCGCAGAGGAGGAAACACCUCCGGGUGAAAAGACCUCAGAUGAAGUGGCGACGGAGCUUAAGGAGGUGAUGCGUGCGCGUAAGGAGGCGGAGGUCGCCGCAGGCGGCGGUGGGUGGUGGGCCGGGGUGGCGCAGGAGAUGACGGAGAUCGAGUGGCCGGCGCCGGGGAAGGUUCUGGGCACCACGGGGGUCGUCCUCGGGAUCAUCGCGGGAUCCACGGUCGCCCUGCUCUCCGUGAACGCGAUCCUCGCCGAGCUCUCCGACCGUGUCUUCGUUGGCCGGGGCCUUCAGGAUUUCUUCUAA